Molecule: ribosomal RNA, 360 nt
Filed under: Peribacillus simplex
Lineage: Bacteria; Bacillati; Bacillota; Bacilli; Caryophanales; Bacillaceae
Description: bacterial SSU rRNA
Rfam family: Bacterial small subunit ribosomal RNA
Source: RNAcentral
UAAGUCCCGCAACGAGCGCAACCCUUGAUCUUAGUUGCCAGCAUUCAGUUGGGCACUCUAAGGUGACUGCCGGUGACAAACCGGAGGAAGGUGGGGAUGACGUCAAAUCAUCAUGCCCCUUAUGACCUGGGCUACACACGUGCUACAAUGGAUGGUACAAAGGGCUGCAAACCUGCGAAGGUAAGCGAAUCCCAUAAAGCCAUUCUCAGUUCGGAUUGCAGGCUGCAACUCGCCUGCAUGAAGCCGGAAUCGCUAGUAAUCGCGGAUCAGCAUGCCGCGGUGAAUACGUUCCCGGGCCUUGUACACACCGCCCGUCACACCACGAGAGUUUGUAACACCCGAAGUCGGUGAGGUAACCUU